CACUUAAUCCCACAAUUUCAAAUUUUCCACUUCCUCUAGCUAUGUAAAUUAACUGAAUCCCAGGGGUAACUAAGUUUGAUGGUGCCUUAAUAGCAUUAGGUUCAAGUUUAACUCUAAUCACACUCAAACCAACAUCCUUAAUAAAAGAAAAAUCUUUCUCUGUUAAGGUUGUGACUAAUCCUACAUUUUGGGUCUUAACUUCUGGGACUUUAGAAUCAAUGUCAUAAACAAAGUCUUUAGUUAGGCCCAAUUGUGGCUUAGGCAUUGGUUGGUCUUUUUCUAAUUUGAUUAUCACAACACCCUUUUGACUUUGUGUUAACUUAUUCACUUCAUCUUUAUUUAAAUUAUAUACUUUGCUUAUUAAAUCACUAGAGAAACUUCCUAAAAUUCCUUGAACACCACUUAGGAAAAAAUAAGUGAAUUCCCCUGAAACAUGAGCUGUUGAAGUUUCUCCAAGAAAUGUGAUACUAAGGUUUGAGUCACCAUCAUUGAACCACCAUGAAACACUUCCAAUAGGGACAGGUAUAACAUCUCCUUUCUUAAGUUUCAAAACUAUCUCUUUUUUAGUGUUGGGGAGUAUCAUUCCAACUACUCCAUCAGUCCCUGCAUUUGAGAAAAAUCACGAAAAUUUGAGCGAAUAAUUUAAAAAACAAAAAUUUAAAUGUAUUUUUAGUCUUCUAUUUUUGCUGACAACGAUUGAAACGCGGCAAAGCCAACAGAAUCAAUCAUAGAGAUCGUCAUUUACAAAAUAUAAAACUAUUUUUUUGUUCAUUAGAUUAGAUUAGAUUAAUUAAAACGAUGAUGAUUAAUUCUUCUACCUUCUGUAACAAUACCAACUUUGGAUGAAUCAGCAUAAUGAGGAAGAGCAAAUCCCCUUGGCUGAAGAACAAGUUGACCAGCACCAACAUUUGUCUUAGCCAAAAUUGGAACUUGAGAACUUAGCCAAAUGUAAUAACCACCACCAUCUCCCUCAAGCAAUGGUUGUGCUGUCUUUGGUGUUAGAUCUAACUCCAUUGAUUUCUUAUCUCUUUUGUUCAUGAAAAAUUAAUCAACCAUUUCAAUUAUAAAUUAGUGAUCUAGUAAAUUUAUGUAGAAAAAGGCAUAGAAGCAUUGACGUAAAACAAAUAAUUGAAUAAGAUGUUUUUUUCACAAUAAACAAAUAAAAAUUAAGAAAUAGAUAAUGAAAAAAAAAAUUGCAAUUCGACAAUUAUAGAUGAUACCAUAAUGCUAGUUGAAACUUUGGCUAAUUUUUUUUACUCAUCAAAAUAUUUUGUUUCGACAAAUACUUCCUCCGUCCCUAAUUAUAAGCACCCUUUCAAAGAAAAAUUUAUCUCUAAAUAUAAGCCCAUUUUAAAUUUGUCCAUAUUACAUCUUUUCACAAAGGACAAUAUAAUAAUUGUAAUAUCCAAAAAAUACACAUUUAUUACACUGCUAACUUUUCUUAAUAAUCGUAAAAAAUUGCAAAGGAGACUUAUAUUAAGGACGGAGGAGUAAUUACUUCCACUUAAAAACAUGUUUUUAAUGUAUUAAAAAAAACACAUGUUUUUAAUGUAUUACAAAAAAACACAUGUUUUUUAUUAACAAAACAAAUUUACAAAACAACCCAUAUAACUUAAAUUGGUUUGUAAAUAUAAAAGUGGGUUUUUGGUAAAUAUAUAUAAUGGGAGUAUGUUUGUUAAUUUACUUCCACAUAAAUAAGUGGGAGUAAGUUAGCAACCCUGUAUAUAUUGUUUUGGUGUUAAUCCUCUAUUCUUAAAAAUAUAUUAAUAUUGGUAAAAUAAUUUUUAAAAUAUUAAAUGCACAAAUUUCAAGACAUAAUAUCCUUUAUUAAUAUGUAAUAAAAUAUAAGCAAAAGUUAUUUUUUAUAGGUUCAUUGUAUGAUUACUAUAUUUAGACUAUAUUAUAGACUAGAUACAUUAAUCAUACAAUGAACCUAAAAAAUAACUUUUGCUUAUAUUUUGUUACGAAUUGUGUACUUAACUUGUGGCCCGAGUACACUUUUUAGUAAUUUCCCAAUAUUAAAUAGUUGAGAUAUUGAUAAUAUUGCAUAUACCAAAUUAAUUAUUUGCUAAAAAAAAGGUGCAUCUUUAAAAGAUAGCUAGACAACAUUUCAUAUCAAAUAAUGCAUCUAAAAAAUACAAAAAAAUAAAAAUAAUAGAAAAUAAUAGACAAUAUUUCAAAAUAUCAAAUAAAAGUCUUCAACUCAAAAUGGAAAUUAAAUCUCACAACAAAAGAUUAGAGAAACCAUAAUUAUUAUCAAAUUCAUAUAAGUGAUGAACAUACCUGCAGCGAUCUUGGAAUUAAAGAAACUGAGAAAGAGCAAUGAACUUAGAAUGUUGGAUUGGAAUCUAGAUGCGUAAAUGUGCAAGCUGAGGUGAAGACUUUGAGGGAUAUAAAUAGAGUUUUAAAUAGUAUUAAGUACUUUAUCACAAGAGUUUUACUACUAGUCUGAGACAAGUUGUAAUAAAUUAAUAAUUGAAUGCUGAUAUGAUUAGCUGGGAAAAUAGUAAUAGUAGUACUUUUUUGGAUUAAACAGAUAUUAAAAAAAAAAGAUAAUAUAUUAAAAGUUUGAGUGUAUCUUAUCCUCACAUGAUUAAAACAAUUGUCUGAUAAUUGUUAUUUAUUUUUUUCACGAACUUAUAAUUUUUUUAGUAGUUUAGUGAUUUAAAAUUUUAAUCUAAAAAGUGAAUAAGUGAAAUGUCUGGGUUCGAAUAUCUGCUCAUGCAUGUGUAAUGCAAUGUCUCUACCAACUAAUAAAUUAAGAACACGGAAACACUUAUUACUUAUUUUUACUAUGAAAAAUGCUAUAUAUCGCGAAAGAAAUUUCACGAACAUUUUACGAAGCAGUUAUUUGCUUGUUGUAUCCUUAAUUUUAUGGUUCUCCUACCUUUUUUCUUUUUGCAAAAAUAAUUUUCUUACUUUUCCACCGAUCACCCCUUCACUUUAUUAACAUAAAUGGAUCUACGGCUGCCACGUUUGGCUGCAACUGUAAACCCCAUUUUUUUACUUCAACAUGGCAAGUUCCGUUAUCAUCCAUUGAGACUAUGUGUUGCAAAUUGCAGCUGACUGAAUGAAUUAUUUGGAUUGUUUAAAUUUUAUUUUGUAUUAAAAAAUAGUUCGUAGCCAGCCUUCGUGAUCAUUUCGUGAGACAAGUUUUCGCUCUAUAUAGCAUUGCUCAUUUACUAUAUAUGGUUAGUUUAUCAUUUUCUUCCUCAAUAUUAUCAUUGUUGUCAUGCUUAAAAAAAAAUGUAAAAUACUAAUUAAAUAUAUUUUUUUAUGUCAUUUUAUAUUUAUAAGGCUUAAUUAGUCUAUUGGUCCCUUAAACACAUUUUAGGUUUUACAAUGGUCCCUUAAAGAAAAAAAGGUUCGGAUUGGUCCCUUAAAGAAAAAAAAGGUCCGGAUUGGUCCUUAAAGACAUAUAUUUUUGUCAUAUUGGUCCUUUCCGUUAAAUUUUACCUCCAAAUAUAACAAAAAAUUCCAAUGGUUAAAAUUUUAAAAAUUAAUAAGGUUUUUUGUGGACCACUUACACUUAAUGACAUCCACAAUUCAGUCUACUAAAACUACCAUUUUUUGUAAAAAAUUGACGGAAAUGACCAAUUGAGAAACAUAUGUGUCUUUAAGAGACCAAUCCUGACUUUUUUUUCUUUAAGGGAUCAUUGUGAAACCUAAAAUAUCUUUAAGGGACCAAAAGACUAAUUAAGUCUAUUUAUAAAGUAGUAUAACUAGGGACAAAGUCAGAAAUUAGGUUUAGAGGGACCGAAUUUAUAAAAAAAAAUUAAAAGCGAUUUUUUGUGUAAAAAAAGGUGAAUUUAAGUUUCAAAAAAAAAUUGUCAACAAAUCACCUUUUUGGUACAAAACAAAUACCAUUUUUAGGGGAGAAAACAUUCGUUGAGAUCAAAUUUACAACAAAUAUAAAAAUAGAACCUAAAACAUUGAAUUAAAAUAGGGUACUAUUUUUAGUGAGUUUAAUAAAAUAGGAGCGACCAAAAGUAAAAUUAAACAAAUUAUAUAAUAAUAUAGCAAUAUUAACAAAUUUUUUAAAAAAUUUUGAAGAGAUUAUCGUCACUUUUGGUCCCCAUUUUAAUUUCGUCCCUUAGUCGACAUUGAAAAUUCAAUAAGUUUAUUAUAUUUUGUCAAAUAGGUCCUAAGGCACUGUUUGGUAAGUCUAAUAAGCUAGCUUAUAGCUUAUUGAACUAGCUUAUAAGCUUGUUUGAAAAAAAUGUGAGGUGUUUGGUAACGAGCUUCUCUAACUAGCUUAUAGUGUUUUUUGAGAUGCUAUUUCAAGUAGCGUAUGAGCUUAUAGCUUAUAGCUUUUUCAUUUUAUUCCAUAUUUACCCUCAUUAAUUUUAUUUAUUUAUUUUUUAAAAAUUAUAAUAACUACCCACUAACACUUACAAAAAAAAAAACUACCCACUAACCGUGUAUUUUUAUGUCAUUUUGUACUUACAACAUCUAAAUUUGCCAAACACUUUAAUUUUAUUCUACUAGCUUUUCAGCUAUAAGCUAUCAGCCAUCAGCUAUCAGCAAUUGCAACUGAUAUUAAAGGUUUUAUCUAUAUUAAAGGUUUGUUCGGUAAAAGUAAGUUAUAAGCUAGCUGAUAGUUGAAAAGCUAACUGAUAGCUGAUAAGCUAACUUAUAGCUGCUAGUUGAAAAACUAACUUAUUAAAAUUGAGAUGUUUGGUAAAUUUAACUAUUAUAAAUACAAAAUGACCAAAAAGUACAUAAUAAUUUAAUUUUCCAUCAACUCAUUGUUUGCAUUGCAUCGUUCUCCUCCUCUCUGCACCACAUCAACAAUGGCGCUGUUCCACAUCAGCAAUUGCAUUUGUGAAAAUAUAACAAAUACAAAAUAAUCCUUUAUAACAACCGCUUAUCCUCUUUCAUGAAUCAAUUUCCACUUAAAUUACAUUUUAAGCUAUGUUUAAUAAUGAGUUUUUUUUUUAAAAGGAAUGUUUAAUAAUGAGAGUUGGAUAACUACUAUCCCAUUCACCACUUAAUUAACAACACAAUUUAGAUUCUUCUCCAAUCGUAAAAGCUACAAAUUUUUUUGUCUUGAAAGAUCCAUCUAAAAAUCCACCAGUUACAUGACUAGAAUUAAAUCACGGUCAAAGAAUGAAACGUGACCAUAGCAGUGGAGCAGUUUUUUUUUCUUUUGUCUUUGAAAGAGUCGGUUUCUCUAAUUUAAAUAAUGGUAAUAAAGUAAUAAAAUGAAAAUAAUAAGGAUAAAAAUGAAAUAAAAUCUAAAAAAUUAUAAGCUUAAACGCUAGUUGAAGGGUGUAUUUGGUAACACAAAUACGCUAACUUAUAGCUUAUUAUAUAAGCUUAUAAACUUGUUUCAAAAAAUUAGAGGUAUUUGGUAAUAAGUUUUUUUUUAUCAGCUUAUAGCUUUUUUCUAGAUGUUAUUUCAAGUAGCGUUUGAACUUAUAGCUAAUAGUUUUUUAUACUUUAUUCCAUUUUUACCCUUUAAUUUAAUAACUACUCACUCUAAAAAAAAACUACUCACUAUCAAUUAUGUCAUUUUAUAUUUAUUAACCACUUCAAAAGCUAAUUUUACCAAACACUUUAAUUUCAAUUAGCUAGUUUUUCAGCUAUCAGCUAGCUUAUAGCUUAUUUUUACCAAACAGACCCGAAAUAGUAUAUCAAAAAACGUUAUAAGCUAGUUAAAGAAACUCGUUAGCAAACACUUCAUAUUAUUAUCAAGCAAACUUAUAAGUUAGUCCAAUAAAAUAUAAACUAGCUUUAUGCAGGGACGGAUUGAAGGGGGGCAAGCAGGGGCUUCAACCCCCCCCUCCCACAUACAUAUAGUUGCUAAUGACACCUCUUAAAUAAAUUAUUGUGAUUUUAUUUAAUAAUUUUGAGUUAAAUAUAUUUUUAGUCUUUAUAAAAUUAUGAGUUUUUAAGUUUUGUCCUUCAAAAAAUUUACUUUUAAUCCAUAUUUGUAUUUUAUAGGACUAUUUUGAGGACUAAAAGUAUCUAUUUUUUAUAAGAAUAUUUCAAAAUAGGGAUUAUUCUUAACAAACUGCAAUAUUUUAAAGGAUAUUUUAAGUUAAAAUUUAAUAUGACUAAACAUAAAAACUCGUUAUUUUAUAAGGAUAAAAAAUAUAUUUAACUCUAUUAUUUAUUGUUAAAAAAGAAAUUCAGCCCCCCGUGUGAUUGAUUUCUAGAUCCGUCCCUGGCUUUAUGAACUUACAUGUUUUUUUUUGACAAAGUUUUGAAUUUUUAUAAGACGUUUAUAACGUGGGUUGGUGGGUGCGCAAAACUCGUGCAUGAGCAUUUUUAAGAGGGUGGUGCAUGUGCAUAUCAAUACGUCAUAUACUCACCCAAUUAAUUGUAGAUUCGUAUUUUUUUUCCCGUUUAGUGGCGAGAUUAGUUAAGUAUUUGUGGUUUGAAUCUCGACACAUUGAUAUAAAAUACGAUAUUUUUAUCAACUGAGUUAAGUCCUCAAGAAUUUAUAGAUUUGUAUUUUAUUACAGAGAAAAUGGGACAUGCACUAUCAGGGACGGACCCAAGGGGGACAAGGAGGGGCUCCAACCCCCCAAAUGCAUACAUGUUUCACAUGUAUAAGUUUCCAUGUAUACGGGUUGCUAAUGACAUCUUUUAAUUUAUUCACUCUUAUUUGAGGUGCUCGUACAUAAAUUAUUGUGAUUUUGUUUAAUAAUUUUUAGUUAAAUAUAUUUUUAGUCCUUAUAAAAUUACAAAUUUUUAAAUUUUGUCGCUCAAAAAAUUACUUUAAGUCUAUAUUUAUAUUUUAUAAGAACUAUUUUGAGAACUAAAUAUAUCAAUUUUUUAAAAAAUAUUUUCAAAUAACUGAUGACGCUGCAUAUAAAUUAAUAUCUUAUUCAAUUCAAUAUAUGAACUAUACAAAAUACAAGGCUAGAUGUGAAUAAUUGAUUAGUGAUAUUGAUCGAUGGAUCAACCACUAAAAUCUGCACAGGGUAGAGAACAUGAAAAACAUCGCAGGAGAUAGUUUGCUUCCAAGUUCCAUCCAAUCAAAUUAAUAACUUAUUUAAUAUUAAUAUUUUCCAAAAUUAGAAUGCACCAAAAAAAAAAUUAAUUCCAAAAGUGGAGGUAGUUUUAAAUUAGCCCAAUGAGGAAACGUGGGUGCGCAAAAUAUAUAUUGUUUUUUAGUUAGACAAAAUUCAUUGUAGUAGUACAUUUUUUUCUUUUUUACAAAACAUUGUAGUAGUACAUAUUAUGUGAAACAUUACUCAAAUAGACCACUUUUAUAAGAAACGUGGGUGCGCAAAUCCAUUGUAUUUUUUAAACAAAAUUCAUUACGGAGUUAGUCUAAUAAGCUAUAAGUUAGAUAAAUUUAUUUCUCUCGAACAACCUUAUAAGAUAGACUAAUAAGCUAUAAAAUAAUUUAUUAAACUUACCAAAUACACCCUUAAUACUUAUAGUAGUAUUAAGGGUUUAUUUGGUAUAAAAGAAUUUGUAAAGAGAGAAAUAAGAGAGAAAAAGAGAAGAAAUUCAUUUUCUCCUGAUUGGUUUAGCAUAAAAAAAAAAGGGGGAGAGAGAAAAAAAUGAUCUGGUCCACUUACUUUUUCUUUCUUCUCUAGCAUGCGAAGAAAGUGGGAGCACAAGAAACUUUUUCACAAAAUUCCAAUUUUGCCCUCAUUUUUGUCAUGAGUCGUUAUACUCUUCUUUUUUUUUUUGACGUGUUUUUGGACCAAACCAUUAUAUUUCCACGUUUUGGGUCAAAAUCAAUUUUUUUUGAAUUUUUUUUUGUUAAAUGUUGAAAUUUUUUUACAAGGCUGAAAUUUAUUUUGGUGGCUAGGAUAUAGUGAUGUUAACUUUUAUUUAAUUAUGUUCAAAAAAACUUUUAUUUAAAUAGAUUUCUCUUUCUCCUAUUUCUUUUCUUAUUCUCUUAUGUCAAACAAUACAUCAAAUCUAUUUUAUUUCUCACAUUUUUCUCUCUCUUACCUAUUUCUCUCUUCACAACUUCUCUUCCAAAUCAAACACGACGUAAGUAAAAAUUAUUAAUAGCGUAGCUACAACAUCAUAACAUGCAAACUCCAUCCACCCUUUAAGGAAAGGUUUAUUAUUCAAAACAAACAAACACCUUAUUAUUAUAGCAUAAAAAACUGACACAGGGAAUUUAUUUUGAUAUAUAAACUAAAUAGUAGGGGGAAUGAGAUUUGUGUUUUCAGUUGUCUUAGAUAUGAAAAGCUUUUGAAACUCAGAAUCCACAUUGAAAGACACUUGUUGCACCGUAGGUGAUAAGGCUCCAAACACCGAUACCUUGCCAGCCAACUCUUCAAACACAGGUCUACAGCAAAUACAAUUACUCAUUAAUAUGUGCAUGUCUAACAGUAUAUAUAACCAAACCAACUAGUAAAAACUAAGUUUUAAGACUCAUAUACCACAAUCAACUUAAUAUAAUGAACCCCUGAAUCAUGAACCAUAUUAAUGACCUUAAUUUUAAAUGAAAAUGCCAGUGUCUAUAGAAUAAUAGUUAAAGAAAUGGAGAAUGUUAAUAUGUGUUUUUAUCAGUAUAUGUUAAGAAAAUAAAUAUAAUUUUUUCCCUGUAUAUUCAUCUCAUUUAGGGUUUGUUUGAUUUGCAAAACGUAAAUACUGAAUAAAGUAGUACAAGACAGAACAACACAGGACAAACACUUAAGGUUUUGAACAAAUUUGUGUUAUACGAUAUUUGGUAGAAAAAAAGGUUAUUCUGCUACUUUAGAAAAUUUGUGCAGAUGAUAAAAAAGUUGUAUCGUGGUUCAUUGGGAGACAAGAAUUUCACUUUUUGUCUUGUCACUUCACUUGACCCCUAGUUUGUCCAGUAUCAGGAACAAUUUUAAAAUCAAACAUAGUACCUUUGAAGUUGUCAUUUACGGUCUUUUAUUUUUUAGCGGAUCAAACGCACUAUUAAUUAGAAUAUGAUUCUUAACCUUUAUAGAAAGAAGGUGGGGUGGGAAAGUAGGUAGUAAAACUAAUAAUUAUGGUGAGUUGCAUCUUGUCAUUAAUUAAUAUAAUAAUUAAUCACGACGAAAAAAAUUAUAAAUUUAAUUUUCUAAAUAGUAAUUCUCGGACACUAGUUAAAUAUGACCCUUUUCUUAAAAAAGAAAAAUCAAUGUUCAUUUUUAAAGUUGGAACAACUUACUUAGUAGUUGUGACAAUAGAAAAACUCUCUAAUCCUUCUUCACCUGCAAUUUGAGCAACCACAAAAAAUUGUGGCACAACAAUCAAAUGACCAACCUUAACUUCACUAUCCAAGACACGUUUUCCAUUUAAUCCCACAAUUUCAAAUUUUCCACUUCCCUUAGCAAUGUAAAUUAACAGAAUCCCAGGAGUAACUAAGUUUGAUGGUGCCUUAAUAGCAUUAGGUUCAAGUUUAACUCUAAUCGCACUCAAACCAACAUCCUUAAUAAAAGGAAAAUCUACCUCCGUUAAGGUUGUUACUAAUCCUACAUUUUGGGCCUCGGUGUCCGGGACUUUAGCAUCAAUGUCAUAAACAAAGUCUUUAGUUAGGCCCAAUUGUGGCUUAGGCAUUAGUUGGUCUUUUUCUAUUUUGAUUAUCACAACAUCCUUUUGACUUUGUGUUAACUUAUUGACUUCAUCUUUAUUAAAAUUAUAUACUUUGCUUAUUAAAUCACUAGAGAAACUUCCUACAAGUCCUUGAACAUAUUGGUUUUGUAAUUCAAACUCAGAACAUGUUCAUCCUCUGAAGCUGUAGAGCCUCUGAAGUGCUUCAGCCUCUGAAGCAAAAUAUAACCUCUGAACCUCACAACCUCUGAAGCUGAUAUAAGUUCUGAAGCUCUGAAGCUCUGUUUUGGUUCUGAUACGCGUUUCUGUUUUACUUAGCUUUUUAGAGUUAGUUAGUUUUGUACAGUUAUAAUUCAGUUACGUUUUGUUUGUCCUAGGUAGUUAUGCAGUUACUUGCAUUUGAAGUAACCACCUAUUGUAUAUAAACAAUUAAGGCCCUUUGUGGAAGAAUAAGAUUUUUACUUUUCCUUUAUUCAAUUUCUGCUUAUCCUAAAAUUCAUUCUUCAUUCAUCUUUCACCCUUCAGUGCUCCUUGUUUUGGGUUAUCCCCAACAAAGUGGUAUCAGAGCUUUCACGAUCCUAGGGAUCUUGAUUCGGAUCUUUCACAAAGAAAGAGCAUCAAAGGUUGCAGUGAUUCAAUCAUGGCUGGGAAGAGUAAUUUCCAUGNNNNNNNNNNNNNNNNNNNNNNNNNNNNNNNNNNNNNNNNNNNNNNNNNNNNNNNNNNCAUCUCAUUUCUUAAGUUUCAAAACUAUCUCUUUUUUGGUGUUAGGGAGUAUCAUUCCAGCCACUCCGUCAGUUCCUACAUUUGAGAAAAAUCGCGAAAAUUUUUGAACGAAUAAUUUUAAAAAACAAAAACUUAAAUGCAUUUUUAGUAUUCUAUUUUUGUUGAUAACAAUUGAAACGUGACAUAGCCAAUAGAAUCAAUCCAAAAGAUCGUUAUUCACAAAAUAUAAAACUAAAUUUUUAUUCAUGAGAUCAGAUUAAUUAAAACGACGAUGAUUAAUUCUUUUACCUUCAAUAACAUAACCAACUUUGGAUGAAUCAGCAUAAUGAGGAAGAGCAAAUCCCCUUGGCUGAAGAACAAGCUGACCAGCACCAACAUUUGUCUUAGCCAAAAGUGGAACUUGAGAACUUAACCAAAUGUAAUACCCUCCACCAUUUCCCUCAAUCAAUGGUUGUGCUAUCUUUGGUGUUAGAUCAAACUCCAUUGAUUUCUUAUCUCUUUUGUUCAUGAAAAAUAAACCAUUUCAAUUAUAAAUUAGUGAUCCAUAUUACUUGGUUGAAAAAGUAAUGCUAAAUACACCACUCAAAAACACAUUAUAUAUGUAUUGUUUUUGUUUUGGUCUUAAUUCCCUCGAUUCUUGUUCUGGUAAUUUGCGAUGAGUAAAGUUUAACCAAUUAUUAUUCCAAUCCGGAUUUGAGUUUAUUUUUUUCGAACAAAUUUCUUUAAAUGUAUAGUUGAUCAACUCUUGAUUCGGAUUAUGUGCAGUCACAAUUUCCUAACUGUCUGAUCUUAGUCGGACAAUCUAAAAUUUUAUGAUCGAAACUUCACAUAUUAUAAAAUAAAAAUAUUAUUUUAUUAUGGACCGUCUGAUCAAGAUCAAACGGCCAAUAAUUCAUAACCGCACGACUGCAUGCAUUCAGUAUCACUGCACAAAAUAUAAAUGUCAAUUGUUGGUGUACUUCGGUGCUUGUGAUAAUUGAGACAUAUUAUUGAGUUUAUUUCUUUUUUUGUUAAAUCUUUUUUUAUUCAAAAUGUUUUGUUUGGACAUAUAUAGAAAGAACAAAUUCUUGGACUCAUUCAUAUUUCUAACUUUUCCAUUNNNNNNNNNNNNNNNNNNNNNNNNNNNNNNNNNNNNNNNNNNNNNNNNNNNNNNNNNNNNNNNUUUACAAAUUUUUCCUUUGUUUAUUUGUACAUCAAUAUGAAUGUAAAAGUUUGUACAUCAAUAUUUUUCUGAUAAAAAAAUAUUGAUGUACAAAUAAAGAAAUGAAAAGUUGAGAUAUUUGAUGAUAUUGCAAUUAAUUAUUUGCUAAUAAAAAAAAAAGGAAGGUGCAUAUCUUUAAAAGAUAUCUAGACAGCAUUUCAUAUCAAAUAAUGCAUCUAAAAAAUAUAAAAUAAUAGACAAUAUUUCAAAGUAUCAAAUAAAAGUCUUCAACUCAAAGUGGAAAUUAAAUCUCAACAAAAGAUUAGAGAAACCAUAAUUAUUAUCAAAUUUAUAAGUGAUGAACAUACCUGCAGCGAUCUUGGAAUUAAAGAAACUGAGAAAAAGCAAUGAACUUAGAUGCGUAAAUGUGCAAGCAAUGAACUUAGUGCAUAUAUUCAAAAUGGGUCAUUCUUUUUGGGACGGAGGGAGUAGAAUAUUGGGUUGGAAUCUAGAUGCGUAAAUGUGCAAGCUGAGAUGAAGACUUUGAGGGAUAUAAAUAGUGUUUUAAAUGGUUAAACAAGUUGUAAUGAAUACUGAUCUGCUGGGAAAACAAGUUGUAGUACUUUUUAUUUUUUGAUAUUAAAAUAAUAAUACUUUUUGGAUUAAAUAGAUAUUAAAAAAAGAUAGAUAAUAAUAUAUUAAAAGUUUGAGCAUGUUGAUAUGAUAAAAAAAAUAUUUGUCUGAUAAUUGUUAUUUUUCUCACCAACUUAUAACUUAUUUUUAUUAUAUAUUUAUAGUUUAAAGUUUAUAGUUUAUCAUUUUCUCCCUAAAUAAUAUCUUUUUUAAAAAAGUAAAAUAAAAUUAAAUAUAUUUUUUAUGUUAUUUUUUAUUUAUAAACUAGUAUAAUUAAGAAUAGAGUUAGGAAUUAAGUUUAGGAGGAUCAAAUUUUUUAAAAAAAUUGUAAAAGAAAUUAAAUUUUAAAAGUAUAACAUAUAAGAUAAAUCUAAAUUUAAUAUUGUGAAUCUGCAUUUUAAAGGCCACUUUUUUUAAGUUGAAAUUUUUGUCCUCUCUAUUAAUUUUCAAAUUUAUUGUAAUUUUAAUCUCAACUCAUGCAUUAUUUCAUAUAAGUUGCGAUUUUUUGUGUAAAAAAAAAAUGUGAAUUUAAGUUUCAAAGGAGAAGUUUUGUCAACAAAUCACCUUUUUGGUACAAAAUAAAUACCAUGUUUAUGGGAGAAAACAUUUGUUGAGAUCAAAUUAAAUAGAACCAAAAAGUUGAAUUAAAAAAGAUAUCAUUUUAGUGAGUUUAAUAAAGUAGGGACGAUCAAAAGUGCAAUUAAACCAAUAAUAUAAUAAUAUAGCGGUAUAAACAAAUUUAAAAAAAGUCUAGAGAGAUGUGGCUUCGCUCGGCUAGUCCCCUUCUAGUUUCGUCUUUGAGUAACUAUGAAUUUUAAUUUAUUCGACGCUUAAAAUUCAAUAAGUUGGUUUAUCCACUAUAUAAGCUAUAAUUUAUCAUAUAUCUAAUAUGUUUUGUCAAACAUAUCCUAAAUUUAUGAGAUACCGCUCAGAAUGAUACUCUUUCCAGUCUUAUUUAUAAACAAAAGUUACUUUUUAAAUUCAUUGAAUAAUUGAUGGAUCUAGACUAUAUCAAAAUCAGAUACAUUGGUUAUUCAAUGAAUAAAAUAACUUUUAUUAUAAAUAAGACCGGAGAAAAUACUUAGCAUUUUACAGACCUAAAUUUAAACUCAGAAUUUCCCACUUAUCCACGUAUUUGAUCACUAUGGAGAAAAAUAUAUAUAUUAAAUCUAUUUAUUAAUGUUCCAAAAUUGGAGUGUACCAAUAAAAUGAUUAAUUCCAAAAUUCGAGAUAGUUCUGAAUUUUUAUAUGACGUGUAUAACGUGGGUGCGCAAAACUCGUGGUGCAUUUCAAUAGUAUCAUACUAUCACAUACUCACCCAAAUAAUUGUAGAUUUGUAUUUUAUUGGAGAAAAUAGGACAUGCACUAUGAUUUAAUACCAACAAAUAUUUUACAAAUCACCUUACUACACUUUAUUCUAACGAUAUAAUGCGGAAUAAUAAUUGAAUUUUAUUGAAUAUUCGUGUGAAAAUAUUUGAUACUAAUAUAACAUGUGCAUUAAACUCUUUAUUCAAUGAAUUUAAUUUAGUAUUUAUAUAUAUUGUCGGUGUAAAUGUUUUUUUUACGUAUAAGUCUAAUAAUAUAUUGUGUUUAUAAAUACAUAGGGUGUGUUUGAUCUGCUAGAAAACAGGGGAUUGGAUUGAACAACUUUUGUUGUACUUUGUUUGAUUUGAAAUUGCUCAUGGGACUAGACAAAUUAGGUAGCAAGGGACAGGACAAAAACAACAAUUUUUGUCCCUCACCGAACCACAGUACAACUUUUUGUCCACAGUACAACUAUAAAAAAUAUGAAAAUACUCAUUUUAUUUUCGAAUAUAAAAAUAUUAUCAUCUUUUAUCUCUCCGGUAUAGUUUUGUCAUGUCCUGUAUUAUUUUGUUUUGUCAUGUACUGUUUUGUUCAGUCCUUAUUAUUUUACAAAUCAAAAGCACUCAUAAUGUGUUGUAUUAAUUAAAUGAUGUGACAACACAUCAUUGAAUGCAUGUGUAAAAUAAUUUAGACUAACGAUUGCAUAUAAAUAAAACUUUUAUUCAAUUCAAUUUGAACUAUACAUGCAAGGCUAGAUGUCAAUAAUUGAAUCCGGUAUGUAUGGGUGUGGGAUAUGGUCCAUUGGUCCCUAUAGCCUCUGAAAAACAAUGAAUUUCAUUAUUGACGGACCACUUCCACUUGUGAGAGUGGGAUAUGUAUAGUUUGGAAAUGGAUUCUUUAAAUUUAUUUUCAUCUAUGUUUUUUAUGUGACCUUAAUUUUAUUUUUAAUUUUUUUAUUUGAUAUUUCAUUUUUAUUUAAUGAUCUCUUUUGGGUCAAUGUAGAGAAUUCAUUUCUUUAUAGUUCCUUCCUAUUGGUCCUUAUAUAUUAAUUCCUGUUAUCCGAUAAUUAUGAUUGGUUCCGUAAAAAAAUUGAAAAUAGUUCUAACAAGGAUCCGAUCUUUUUCAGCGAUUGGCCGAUUCUAUGUAAUUUUUACACUCCUUCAGAUAACAACAGUAGUACAUAUUUAUGUGAAACGUUACUCAAAAUUUUAAUAUAAAACAUUUUUUAUAAGAGAAUCUCCAAUGAUAAUAACAUUUUGAGUAUCAUAUAUUACUAAUAAAUGGUUCAUACAAUAUCAUGUAAUGUAAUAUUUAUGUAACUCAUAUAUAUAUUUUGUUCCAAUUGUGAUACCACUCGAAAUAUUAUAUAUUAUUAAUAAGUGGUCUCUUUUAUAUUUAUUUUUUAACUGAAAUUAAUUAAUGAUAUUAAAUUGAUGACACAAAUAAGCUAGCUAUAGCUUAUUAUAGUACUCCUUCCAUACCAAGAUAUAAGCAAAUAUGACUUAAAGAAUUUUGAUAUAUUUGAUUAAAGAUUUGGAGCAAAUACAUUCAUUUUUAUUAACAAAUUUUUUCUUAUAUUUUGGGACGGAAGGAGUAGUUUAUAAGUUUGUUUGAUAAAAUUAAAGGUGUUUGGUAACAAUUUUUUUUUACUACUAGCUUAUAAUUUUUUUCAAAUGGUAACAAAUGUUAUAAUUUUACUUAUAGCGUUUUACCUUUAAUUCCAAUUUUAACCUUAUUAUUUUAAUUACUUUUUUUUUAAAUAAGAAAACAAUCCACUCACAUAAAUUAAUCAUUUACUUUUAUAUCAUUUUAUGAUUAUAAAAGCUAAAUUUUCCGAACACUUUAAUUUCAUUCUACUAAUUUUUCAACUAUCAGUUAAAAACCAAUUUUUCAACUAUAAAUUAGCUUAUAGCUUAAUUUUUACCAAAUAGAGCCAAUAUAUCAUUGAUGUUAAAACACUCACAUGUAUAACAGUACAAGCAUGUUCUUAAUGUUGUAGUGAAGUGGUAAAUAUGCUCCGAGACAUCAUGGGUGUGUGUCAGUGUGUGGAAUAUUCGAACUUAAACUAUCUCAUCAUUUAUUCUAUUAUUCGUGUGUGUGUGUGUGGUGGUGGUGGUGGUGGGCGAGGGUUGGUCUUGGUCAUAAGGACAAUAGCAAAAUAAAACACGCACAAAGAUACAUAUUGAAUAAUAGAGCAUUUAUUUAUUUUUUCUUAGUGAUACUAAUUAAGUAAAAAUUAUAAAUAGUGUAGCUACAACAUCAUAACAUGUAAACUCCAUCCACCUUUUAGUAAAGGUUUUAUUAUUCAAAACAAACAAACACCUUAUUAUUAUAGAAUAAAAAACUGACACAGGGAAUUUAUUUUGAUAUAUAAACAAAACAAGGCAAACUAAAUAGUAGGGGGAAUGAGAUUUGUGUUUUGAGUGGUCUUAGAUAUGAAAAGCUUUUGAAACUGAGAAUCCACAUUGAAAGACACUUGUUGCACCGUAGGUGAUAAGGCUCCCAACACCGAUACCUUGCCAGCCAACUCUUCAAACACAGGCCUACGUACAACAAAUACAAUUACUCAUUAAUAUGUGCAUGUCUAACAUUAUAACCAAACCAACUAGUAAAAACUAAGUUUAAGACUCAUAUACCACAACCAACUUAAUAUAAUGAACCAUAUUAAUGACCUUAAUUUUAAAUGAAAAUGCUAUUUAGUGUUAAAAGAAUACGGUACUAGUUAAGAAAACUAAAUGGAGAAUGUUAAUACGUGUGUUUAACGGUACAUGUUAAGAAAAUAAAUGUAUGCAAAAUAUAAACAAUGAACAAAAUAUUACAAGGACAGUACAAAACAUAACAUCACAGGAUAAACGCCCAAGGUUUUGAACAAAUUUGUGUUGUACGAUGUUUGGUAGACAAAACAUUAUUUUGGUAUUUUAGACAAUUUGUUUGGAAGACAAAAAGUUGUAACAUAGUUCAGUAAGAGACAAGAAUUUCUUUUUUUUUUGUCCCGUCUCUUGACCUCCAAUUUAUCCGAUAUCGAUAACAAUUUUAAAAUCAAACACGGUACAUCUAAAAUUAUCAUGUUCAGUUUUUUAUUUAUUUAGCAGAUCAUGUUAGAGUAUCAUUUUCAACCUUUAAAGAAGGUGGGGGUGGGGAAGUGGGUAGUAAUUAUGCUUAGCUACAUCUUGUCAUUAAUUAAUAUAAUAAUUAAUUAGGACGAAAAGAAAUGUGAAUUUGAUUUUCUAAACAAUAUUUCCGGAAUACUAAUUUUUUUUGUUUAUAGUGUUGACAAUGAGGAUCGAAUUUAGGACCUCAUGCAUAUUACUCAAAUCUCUCACUACUAGACCAAACUGAAACGACAGUUAUAUAAAAGUAUACAUUUUUCUUAAAAAAUGGAAAUAAGAUCAAUGUUAAUUUUUAAAGGUGAAACAACUUACUUGGUAGUUGUGACAAUAGAGAAACUCUCCAAUCCUUCUUUACCUGCAAUUUGAGCAACCACAAAAAAUUGUGGCACAACAAUCAAAUGACCAACCUUAACUUCACUAUCCAAUACACGUUUUCCACUUAAUCCCACAAUUUCAAUUUUUCCACUUCCUCUAACUAUGUAAAUUAACUGAAUCCCAGGGGUAACUAAGUUUGAUGGUGCCUUAAUAGCAUUAGGUUCAAGUUUAACUCUAAUCGCACUCAAACCAACAUCCUUAAUAAAAGGAAAAUCUUCCUCCGUUAAGGUUGUUACUAAUCCUACAUUUUGGGCCUCAGUGUCUGGGGUUUUAGAAUCAAUGUCAUAAACAAAGUCUUUAGUUAGGUCCAAUUGUGGCUUAGGCAUUG
This 17098-nucleotide long non-coding RNA is filed under the name Trifolium pratense (red clover). RNAcentral describes it as "long non-coding RNA (TPRA_LNC014432)". Lineage: Eukaryota; Viridiplantae; Streptophyta; Magnoliopsida; Fabales; Fabaceae. The record is from RNAcentral.